This 388-nucleotide long non-coding RNA is filed under the name Elaeis guineensis (African oil palm). RNAcentral describes it as "long non-coding RNA (EGUI_LNC063481)". Lineage: Eukaryota; Viridiplantae; Streptophyta; Magnoliopsida; Arecales; Arecaceae. The record is from RNAcentral.
UUUCCAAACAAGAUCUCAAGACUCCUAGGAUCAAAAUCAAUCCUAGCCCGAAAUAGAAUCCACACACGAUUCUGUUCGCAACUCGAGCUAGCUCGGUCAGACCUCGAGUCGGUUCAACUAUCGUAAUCCUCCCAUGCCAGCUCUCUGUUUCUCAUCUGAGCUGGCUUUCUCAGGAUCUCGAGUUGGCUCAACUUGAUCCGAGUCGACUCCAUCCAGAUUCAAGUCGGCUCCUCUACUGGCUGAAGCAGAUCUUCACACUAGGACCUCUCCUAUCCUAGCCCUAGGGCCCAAACCCCGUCCUAGUCUCUUGAAGUCAUUAUUAUGACUCCUCUCAUGGCCUCCCAAGGCUUGGGAGCACCUCACAUGCACAACAAAGGGAACCCUCUAG